CAGCCGCCGCGGGAAAACGGAGGGUGCAAGCGUUAAUCGGAAUUACUGGGCGUAAAGCGCACGCAGGCGGUCUGUCAAGUCAGAUGUGAAAUCCCCGGGCUUAACCUGGGAACUGCAUUUGAAACUGGCAGGCUAGAGUCUUGUAGAGGGGGGUAGAAUUCCAGGUGUAGCGGUGAAAUGCGUAGAGAUCUGGAGGAAUACCGGUGGCGAAGGCGGCCCCCUGGACAAAGACUGACGCUCAGGUGCGAAAGCGUGGGGAGCAAACAGGAUUAGAUACCCGUGUAGUCCCUGUCUCUUAUAC
This 301-nucleotide ribosomal RNA is filed under the name uncultured bacterium. RNAcentral describes it as "partial 16S ribosomal RNA". It matches the Rfam family "Bacterial small subunit ribosomal RNA", at positions 509 to 807 of the family's 1533-position model. The record is from RNAcentral.